Molecule: long non-coding RNA, 983 nt
Filed under: Rattus norvegicus (Norway rat)
Lineage: Eukaryota; Metazoa; Chordata; Mammalia; Rodentia; Muridae
Description: long non-coding RNA NONRATT000191
Source: RNAcentral
GAUUAUACUGUGAGACCCUUGUCUCAAGAAAGAAAAGAAAAAGAAAGCAAAGAUAAACAGUAGAAAUUGUCACAUUUGAAAUUACAAACUAGAUGACUGUAAAUUUACUGGCAUACCAAAGGCCAAGCAGCCAAAAUGACUGCAAUCAUUCUUAAAAUGAAAUCUGUAAAAAGCUGAAAAAUCAGUAUGACCAUAUUAAAGAACCCAAGGGUGAAGGCAUUAAAGUGUACAGUUACAUCUUUAAGAAGCAAUAAACUGGCAUGAAAUUUUGUCUUUUAGAAAAAAUUCUCUAGCUAAAGCAAAAAUAGCCAAAAUUAAAAUUCCAUCCGUAACAACAGCUCAGUGCUAAGCAAGCACCUUAGCUGAGAGGCCCCCAAAAUCCACCCUUACCCGAGUUUACACAAGCGAAGAAAGAGGGAAGGCAGGCUGGGAAAACAAAGCCUUCCUUCUACAGCUUUUAACUUUAACAAACAAGGCUCUGAGAAAGCUGCCAGCAGCUGUGGGGGCGUGAGGUCUCCACUCACACCCAAGUAGCAGGCAGACUUGCUCCAACAGCAGUGAUAGCUCAGGAGUGAAGUCCAGUGGACUGCUCACCGUCCUCUGUUUACCCAGUCACUGCCCCCCCACCCCACCCCCAGCUCCAUCUCAUCUGAGGGACUGCCAUGGGCAGUGAGGAGGUGGAGUAGGGAGAACCUGCAAGGCCCAGGGAUCCAGUUGGUCAGCUUGAAACAGACUGCCCUACCAUUGCAAAAUUCAGUCAUUCUCCUCAAUUGAGAAUGCCCAGCUGUAGCCAGAGCCACCCUUCUGGGCUCUAAGCUCCAUGGAGAAACCUUGGCUCUGAAUAGGAGCAUCAGUCUCAGAAGUGGCAGAGUGCACACCUCUAAUCUCAGUGCUCAGGAUACACGGCAAGGGCAUCACCAAGAGACCAGUCAGGGCUCUGAAGACUUUGUUUCAAAAAGAAAAAAUAUAUAUAUAGGAAGUUU